UGCUACCUUCUUAACAUCCUAUGUGUGUACUUCACACUACUUUCAUAAUUAUACCUACAAUCAUCUCUUACAAUUCUAAUUGCUCUAAACUUUAUUUGAGUGGUCUGUUGUUACACACACCUACAAUAAAGCAUGCAACAUUAGUUAAAACACACAACAUUAGUUAAAACACACAAGAUGGUUUUGACAUGCACAAGAUCCCUUGAAAAUCAAUCUGAAUCUUCUACUGCCUCCGAUGAUCACAAUGCAUGUUUGCAACAGUUGAAUGAUCAAAUUUGUGAAUGAGAGCAGCAAUUAGCUAUUCUGCAUGCACAACAGCAGCUCAAUGAGUUGAAAGUGCAGAUUCAUGGAGAUACUCUCAUCAAGCCUCAAUUAACUCAGAAUAUCACCACAGAACCACUGCAAAAUCGAUCUGCAAAUGAUAUGAAUGAUGAUAAUGAAACACCACCAAGGUUGGAGAUUAAGGACUAUUAUCAAGGAAAAAAUAUGUUAGAAUUCAAGAACUAUAAAGAUUGCAUGUUGACUCUCUUUACACACCAUCACUGGUAUUAUUGAAAGAAAGAACACAAGAUAAAUGAUGCUAAACUCUACCUUGAUGCCCACAUUAAGCAGAAGUGGUUGAAUUUUGUAUCAUCAUAUAAGAGAUAUGGAGGAGCAACACUGUUGACUUUUGAUGAUAUGUUAUCACAUCUAGAAAUGCAAAUUAACAAUCCACAGAACCAGCACCAAUUAGUGAGUCAAAAGUUUCAAGAUGUGAAGCAACAAGAAUGGCAAUUGAUACACAAUUUCUCUAAAUAUCUCAAAGACUGAGAAUACUACUUACUCUCAUAUAGUGAAGAACAAAGAAUGGAUAACUUGUGUAGUAAGACAUUGAAGAUAUUACACACAGAACUCAACUGUCAAAAUCAAGAGCCUCAGAACUAUAAAGAGUUGCUUCAAACUCUACAGACUCUCAAGGAAAAUAUGUCAGAGUGACAGUGUGCUAUCCACAAAGAAAGACCUGCAAUAUUCAUAGAGAAUCAGCAUCAUUCUGAUAAAUCUAGCAACUGUCAGAACAAGAGGAAAUGAGAGAAAUAAACAGAUUCAACUGAACAAAUCAAGAAAGAUAAAUAUAACUGGAUGAAGAAGUGUUCUCACUGCCAUAAGAAGAGUCAUAUCACAAAUAAUUGUUGGAUGUUACACUCUGAAAAGCACAACCAAGUUUGACAAGCAAAAAAUCAACAAUCCCAAUUGUAGAAGCAGCUGCUGCAUUGAGAAUACAAACAACUAGACUGUGAGAUAAAUGAUUAUUGAUGAUGAAUACAUGAAUGCUGACAGAAGCAGAAUGGUUGAUGAUGUGAAUGCUAGUGGAUUCUGAUGCAGAUGUGAACUUUGUGUCCCACAUCUGGGCAUCAAAAUAUUUCUCAAAGACAGAAAGUAAAUCAAAAGUAGUGGAAGCAGUUGAUAAUCAUAAGAUUAAAUUAUAUGAACAACAAAGAGCUGCAAUGAAGAUUAUUGAUGAUGAACACAUCCUUCAAGAAGAAUUCCACCAUUUCAAAGAGGC
RNAcentral lists this small RNA (1543 nucleotides) under Histoplasma ohiense. Its description in RNAcentral is "hypothetical lncRNA". Lineage: Eukaryota; Fungi; Ascomycota; Eurotiomycetes; Onygenales; Ajellomycetaceae. The record is from RNAcentral.